CCACUAUUAAAUUUUUGUCGUUGAAUAAGUGCUCCAAAGGAUAACGACAAUUCAACAUCAUUAUUUAUUUGUUGGGUCUGAAUGGAUGCUUCAUAUGAACCAGAGUUCACGGCUCUAAACGCCAACAAGCUUCUCAUAUUGUUGGCAUGGUUGCUCAUAGAGAACGGCCGCGAAACGCAAGGAGUGGGCUUGGUCCACUUGAUUGGCUAGCGAUUUUGGCUUUGGGCUGCACAUGAGGGCAAUCGGAAGAAAGACUCUUGACUAGAGUCUUCUUUCUCUCCGAUCGCGAUGAAGGUUGGAAGUUCAUUGCGAUCUAGAGAUCGGGUGGAUAAUGCUGGGAUUAUCUAUUUAAAGAUCUUCGAGUUCAUUCGAGGUUGAGCCAUCGAUCCCAAACUCUUCUUUUAGUUUUCUUCCUUGAUUUGUCACCGGAGGGGACUAUCGGAUCACAUCACCAGGUUGAGGUAUGUGCUCCUCUCUCUCUCUCUCUCUCUCUCUCUCUCUCUCUNNNNNNNNNNNNNNNNNNNNUCUCUCUCUCUCUCUCUCUCUCUCUCUCUCUCUCUCUUCUGAUGUUGUAGCUUAGAUUUGCCUUGUUUCAAGUCGGUGAAUCGCCCGAAAUAGGAGAGCUUUAUUUUGGUCUGUUUUUUCUCUCCAUUGGCCGUCGUUGGUCACCAUCCAUAGUGGGCAGUUGCGGGUCUUCUGACCUAGGCACCACCACAGUCAUGCUUUCCCUCUCCUUUGUUUUCUUUCCUUGACUAGAGAGAGGACCUUCUUCUUCUUUUCUUUCUCUCUCUUCCCCACUUUCUCUCUCUUAUACUCUCUCUACAAAGUUUCUCUUUUCUGACUUAUGGGCUAGACAUGUUGAUUGAUCCAGGUUGAUCUGUGCCAUCGACA
This 891-nucleotide long non-coding RNA is filed under the name Phoenix dactylifera (date palm). RNAcentral's name for it is "long non-coding RNA (PDAC_LNC004720)". Lineage: Eukaryota; Viridiplantae; Streptophyta; Magnoliopsida; Arecales; Arecaceae. The record is from RNAcentral.